UCGCGGGACCAGAGAUGGUCCUUUCAGUUCGGCUGGACCCCACACAGGUGCUGCAUGGCUGUCGUCAGCUCGUGUCGUGAGAUGUUCGGUUAAGUCCGGCAACGAGCGCAACCCACACUUUCAGUUGCCAUCAUUCAGUUGGGUACUCUGGAAGAACUGCCGGUGAUAAGCCGGAGGAAGGUGUGGAUGACGUCAAGUCCUCAUAGCCCUUACGGGUUGGGCUACACACGUGCUACAAUGGUGGUGACAAUGGGUUAAUCCCAAAAAGCCAUCUCAGUUCGGAUUGUCGUCUGCAACUCGGCGGCAUGAAGUCGGAAUCGCUAGUAAUCGCGGAUCAGCACGCCGCGGUGAAUACGUUCCCGGGCCUUGUACACACCGCCCGUCACACCAUGGGAGUCAGUUGCUCCAGAAGUGGCCGCGCCAACCCGCAAGGGAGGCAGGUCCCUAAGGAGUGGCUGGUAACUGGGGUGAAGUCGUAACAAGGUAGCCGUAGGGGAACC
This 500-nucleotide ribosomal RNA is filed under the name uncultured bacterium. Its description in RNAcentral is "bacterial SSU rRNA". It matches the Rfam family "Bacterial small subunit ribosomal RNA", at positions 993 to 1512 of the family's 1533-position model. The record is from RNAcentral.